Molecule: transfer RNA, 77 nt
Filed under: Dehalococcoidales bacterium
Lineage: Bacteria; Bacillati; Chloroflexota; Dehalococcoidia; Dehalococcoidales
Description: tRNA-Asp
Rfam family: tRNA
About the family: Transfer RNA (tRNA) molecules are approximately 80 nucleotides in length. Their secondary structure includes four short double-helical elements and three loops (D, anti-codon, and T loops). Further hydrogen bonds mediate the characteristic L-shaped molecular structure. tRNAs have two regions of fundamental functional importance: the anti-codon, which is responsible for specific mRNA codon recognition, and the 3' end, to which the tRNAs corresponding amino acid is attached (by aminoacyl-tRNA synthetases). tRNAs cope with the degeneracy of the genetic code in two manners: having more than one tRNA (with a specific anti-codon) for a particular amino acid; and 'wobble' base-pairing, i.e. permitting non-standard base-pairing at the 3rd anti-codon position.
Source: RNAcentral
GGCCCCGUGGUGUAGCGGUCUAACAUAACGCCCUGUCACGGCGUAGAUCGGGGGUUCGAAUCCCCCCGGGGUCGCCA